Molecule: ribosomal RNA, 492 nt
Filed under: uncultured bacterium
Lineage: Bacteria
Description: partial 16S ribosomal RNA
Rfam family: Bacterial small subunit ribosomal RNA
Source: RNAcentral
AGUGAACGCUGGCGGUAGGCCUAACACAUGCAAGUCGAACGGCAGCACAGUAAGAGCUUGCUCUUACGGGUGGCGAGUGGCGGACGGGUGAGGAAUACAUCGGAAUCUACUUUUUCGUGGGGGAUAACGUAGGGAAACUUACGCUAAUACCGCAUACGACCUACGGGUGAAAGCAGGGGAUCUUCGGACCUUGCGCGAUUGAAUGAGCCGAUGUCGGAUUAGCUAGUUGGCGGGGUAAAGGCCCACCAAGGCGACGAUCCGUAGCUGGUCUGAGAGGAUGAUCAGCCACGCUGGAACUGAGACACGGUCCAGACUCCUACGGGAGGCAGCAGUGGGGAAUAGUGGACAAUGGGCGCAAGCCUGAUCCAGCCAUACCGCGUGUGUGAAGAAGGCCUUCGGGUUGUAAAGCCCUUUUGUUGGGAAAGAAAAGCAGCAGGUUAAUACCCCGCUGUUCUGACGGUACCCAAAGAAUAAGCACCGGCUAACUUCGUG